UUUUAACGAGAGUUUGAUCCUGGCUCAGGAUGAACGCUGGCGGCGUGCUUAACACAUGCAAGUCGAGCGAAGCACUUA
This 78-nucleotide ribosomal RNA is filed under the name Dorea sp. BIOML-A1. RNAcentral describes it as "partial 16S ribosomal RNA". It matches the Rfam family "Bacterial small subunit ribosomal RNA", at positions 1 to 77 of the family's 1533-position model. The record is from RNAcentral. Lineage: Bacteria; Bacillati; Bacillota; Clostridia; Lachnospirales; Lachnospiraceae.